GGUUGAUCCUGCCAGUAGUCAUAUGCUUGUCUCAAAGAUUAAGCCAUGCAUGUCUCAGUACAAGCCAAAUUAAGGUGAAACCGCGAAAGGCUCAUUAAAUCAGUUAUGGUUCCUUAGAUCGUACCCACAAUUACUUGGAUAACUGUGGUAAUUCUAGAGCUAAUACAUGCAAACAGAGCUCCGACCGGAGACGGAAGGAGUGCUUUUAUUAGAUCAAAACCAAUCGGUGGCGGGUUCGCUCGUUAUCGUACAACUUGGUGACUCUGAAUAACUUUACGCUGAUCGCACGGUCAUCGCACCGGCGACGCAUCUUUCAAAUGUCUGCCUUAUCAACUGUCGAUGGUAGGUUCUGCGCCUACCAUGGUUGUAACGGGUAACGGGGAAUCAGGGUUCGAUUCCGGAGAGGGAGCCUGAGAAACGGCUACCACAUCCAAGGAAGGCAGCAGGCGCGCAAAUUACCCACUCCCGGCACGGGGAGGUAGUGACGAAAAAUAACGAUACGGGACUCAUCCGAGGCCCCGUAAUCGGAAUGAGUACACUCUAAACCCUUUAACGAGGAUCAAUUGGAGGGCAAGUCUGGUGCCAGCAGCCGCGGUAAUUCCAGCUCCAAUAGCGUAUAUUAAAG
Molecule: ribosomal RNA, 625 nt
Filed under: Trigonopterus laetus
Lineage: Eukaryota; Metazoa; Arthropoda; Insecta; Coleoptera; Curculionidae
Description: SSU rRNA
Rfam family: Eukaryotic small subunit ribosomal RNA
Source: RNAcentral